Long non-coding RNA from Oncorhynchus tshawytscha (Chinook salmon), 4391 nucleotides. The record is from Ensembl. NCBI's taxonomy places the organism in Eukaryota, Metazoa, Chordata, Actinopteri, Salmoniformes, Salmonidae.
GUUGCUGUCCGCGGUGCUGAAUCCUGACGCGACUGCGGAAGAGAAGUGGCGGACCCGAGAAAUUGCUCUGCAAAUCUUCUCAUAUUUUCACUUUCACUCGCAAUUAUCUCAUCCAUCAAUUUUGGACCAUCCUGUAUUUAACACUGACACUAUGUUUUAGCAAAGGUGUGUAAUGGAUUAGACUAGGUAGAGUAAUGGAUUCGCCGUGUUCCAUCAUCUUCGCUGUGUUGGCUCUUUGCCUGUCUCUUCCAACUACCUCCGCUGACAGCAAAUUUGGUUGCCUGUUUGAGGAUGAGCUCUGUACACCUUACGAGUUCUGCGCUAACGACAGAGUGUUUGGAAGGUGUCUGGAGUUACCUAGUGCGGACCUAUACACCUAUGAUGUGUCAGCCUCUGCUCUACAGCACCUGAGGAGUCUCCUCCAGAAACUGUCCCACAGAGGGUUGACAUGGCAGGAUGCUACCACCCAGCAGGUGAUCUCCAGAGAGCUUUCCAAGAUACGCAAGGUUCCUAUCCGAAGGCCGGAACCCCCUUCUGCCUCUCUGACACUCUAUGGUGGAGCCAGGAAGCUCAAGACUGGAAAGGGAGAGCUUGGCAUCCAGAAGUACCUGCAAGAGCUUGGUCUCCUUCCCCAGUCUGUUGGCACUGCUCGCCAGGGGCCCCAGCGAGAGAACUUCCAGCCCAAGAAGGGAAAGUCUACAUUCUAUAGUCUACAGUCUGCAGAACCACCCCAGGGGGGUAAGGUCUUCACAAAGGGGGCCGUGGGGAGCUGGAGACCCCCAGUGGAGACAGCCUACUCCAGCCAGGAGCCUGGGAGUGCCAGGGGAAGUGCCAAGGGGUUGACUGCCCAGCUGGAGCGCUACCUGGCUGGGGCAGCACACACCCAGAGCCGCCCUUUACAAGGGGCAGUGGUGGGAUCAGUGGUGGGACCCAAGGGCAAGCUCCACUAUGUCAGCUAUGUCAGCCCUGUACGCUCUGGUGAUCAGGUGGAACCCCAGACACGACUUGGUGGCAGUGGCUCCAAACCUCCAAGGCCCAACAUAGACAGGCUUCUCUUCAAGGCUGCUUCCAACCAUCAGGUGCCCAAGGAACAGCUCAGUACAGUGGAUGAACGGUUCAUCCAGAACGUGGUCAACCAGCUGGGGAGGCAGAGAGUGAACAUGGACGGUUUGAUGGGUAAAGACCUGAACCAGCUGGCAGACAUCAUCUCUGAGGCCCUGCAUGUGGUGGAUGGGGAGGGGCCCGGGGCCAGAGCUAAGCCCAGGGUCAUGGCACCCAUACGGGACAGGCAGAUGAAGAGAGAGCCCUUACCUUCCAAGGACCAGGAUGAGGAGGACCAAGACGACAUGUUGGGGCAAGAUGCAAGUGAUGAGCCGGAUGCCCAGAUGGAGGUUGAUGGUGCUGGGGCAGCAGGCGGCCCCUCUAUUGAGGGCCAGAGAACAGUGGGUCUGGAGAAUGUGAGAAGCAGGACCACACAGGGAGAGGAUAGAUCUCCAGACCAACCAAUGGAUGUCCAGGCUUCUGAAUCCAUGGUAGACUCCGAGGUGGAGAGGUGGAUCCACGGUACCAAAGCUCCUCCUCCUCUGGAGGCUGAGACAGACCUCUUGGCAGAUAAACCACAGAAGAAGAAUCUCCUAGCAGAGCCACAGAAACAGGACAUGCGACUCCAGGAGGAGGAGGAGGUGGUGCAUAUGGGGGUCAAAGCUUACUCAAAGGCACAUCGAGGGAAAAACCACCUCGGCGACUUUGGCUACAUCAUUACAGACACACUAGCUUUUCCUCUUUUGCUUCUAUAUUUCAGAGUGCUGGGUCCAGCUGUGACCUUCAGGGUGGGCUCCAACCCUCAUAAUGUCAGCACUGCAGAUCUGGCCAACGUUGCAGGGCAUUUAAUCAUCCCCUUUUCUCUCUCUCUCUCUUCCCAGAAGGGCAGCUUGAGACAGAUCCCAGUGGUCAAGGAGAGUCAUCUGGAGUCUGGUCAGUUCAUGGUCUUGACCAUCAUCUCCAUGGUCCUGAUCAUGGGGGCGCUGGCAGUGUCUGGCUGGCUCUUCUGCCUGCGCCACCGCUCCCACCUCCAACUGAAGGAGAAACUAGCCAGCCUGGGGACUGACACCAGCGCUGAUGCAACCGCAACCUAUCAGGAGCUGUGUCGCCAGCGGAUGGCUGUGCGGACAUCGGAGCGUCCGGAGCGUGCGGAGUGCCCGGAGCCUCUGCGGCGCCUCUCGCGGCUGAACAGCUCGUCUUCUCAGUUCAGCGACGGGGGACCCAUAGCCAGCCCCUCGGCCCGUAGCUCCACUUCCUCCUGGUGCGAAGAGCCUGUCCCUUCCAACAUGGACAUCUCCACCGGCCACAUGAUACUGUCGUACAUGGAGGACCACUUGAAGAACAAGAACCGCCUGGAGAGGGAGUGGGAGGCGAUGUGUGGUUACCUGGCUGAGCCCGGUGACUGUGACGUGGGCCAGGGCCAACACAACACCAAGAGGAACCGCUCUGACACCGUGGUUGUCUAUGAUCAUUCCAGAAUCACCUUGAAGGCUGAGAAUAACCAUGGCAACUCGGAUUACAUCAAUGCUAGCCCAAUUAUGGACCAUGACCCGAGGAACCCCAUGUACAUCGCUUCACAAGGCCCUCUACCCUCCACCGUGGCUGACUUCUGGCAGAUGGUGUGGGAGAGUGGCUGCGUGGUCAUCGUCAUGCUAACGCCCCUGUCUGAAAAUGGAGUGAAACAGUGUCAACAGUACUGGCCAGACGAGGGCUCCAAUGUCUACCAUGUUUAUGAGGUGAACCUGGUGUCAGAACACAUCUGGUGUGAGGACUUCCUGGUCAGGAGUUUCUACCUGAAGAACUUGCAGACCAACGAGACACGCACUGUCACGCAGUUCCACUUCCUUUCCUGGGUAGACCACAGCAUCCCUGACUCAGCCAGGACACUGCUGGACUUCCGUAGAAAGGUUAACAAGUGCUACCGGGGUCGGUCUUGUCCAAUAAUUGUCCACUGCAGUGACGGGGCUGGCCGAAGCGGAACGUACAUCCUGAUUGACAUGGUCCUCAAUAGGAUGGCUAAAGGUGCUAAAGAGAUUGAUAUUGCCGCUACCCUGGAGCACUUGAGAGACCAAAGAGCCGGCAUGGUCCAGACAAAGGAGCAGUUUGAGCUUGCGCUGACAGCCGUAGCAGAGGAGGUGAAUGCCAUCCUUAAAGCACUUCCACAGUGAAACUCGACGCCGCCCCACACCGUGCCACAUCUCGCUGUCUAAACACAUGUUUUUUCUGCCCACUCAAGUCUGUCAUCUCGCUUUUGUCCCAAAUGGCACCCUAAUCCCUACGCAGUGCGCUACUUUUGAACAGGGCCCAUAAGGGUCUGGUCAAAAGUGGUACACUAUGUAGGGAAUAGGGUGGUGCCAUUUGGGACAUACAUACCUAUCUUCUCUUGUUUCUCUCUCCUCUGAUUCUCGCUCUUGGAAUACUUAUGAAUGUUGUGCCAGAUACUUGACCGACCUGGUCUUCUUAAGUGUGAUGUAUUCUUUUUGCAGUUGUGUUCCAGUGCCACUUACAGAUAGCUAGACAAAGUCACGUGUGUUCUCUCUCUCUCUUUGUGAUCUGAAUAAUCUAUUAUACUAAGAAUCAGAUAAUUGGUUAUUGAUGUGUGAAGAAUAUGAUAUUGUAUUCAAGGCCUGAACAUCUGUGUCCUGUAUAUAGAGAAGAUGCUUCAAAGAACAAUGUCGAAGUGAUCUUUACUAUUAAAGUUCUGAACCACAUUCUAUGGCCCUGUUCAAAUACAUUCGAAAUGUAUCCUUCCUUCCUUGAGAAUCUGUAAGUGAUAUACACUACCGGUCAAACGUUUAGAACACCUACUCAUUCAAGGGGUUUUUCUUUAUUUUUACUAUUUUCUACAUUGUAGAAUUGUAGAAUAACACAUAUGGAAUCAUGUAGUAACCAAAAAAGUGUUAAACAAAUCUAAAUAUAUUUUAUAUUUGAGAUUCUUCAAAGUAGCCAGCCUUUGCCUCGAUGACAGCUUUGCACACUUGUCAUUCUCUCAACCUGCUCCACCUGGAAUGCUUUUCUAACAGUCUUGAAGGAGUUCCCACACAUCCUGAACACUUGUUGGCUGCUUUUCCUUCACUCUGCGCUCCGACUUUUCCCAAAUCAUCUCAAUUUGGUUGAAGUCGGGUGAUUGUGGAGGCCAGGUCAACUGAUGCAGCACUCCGUCACUCUCCUUCUUGGUAAAAUAGCACUUACACAGCCUGGAGGUAUGUUCGGUCAUUAUCCUUUUGAAAAACAAAUUAUAGUCCCAUAAGCCCAAACCAGAUGGGAUGGCGUAUCGCUGCAGAAUGCUGUGGUAGCCAUGCCGGUUAAGAGUGCCUUGAAUUCUAAAUAAAUCACAGACAGUGUCACCA